UCCCUCUUAGCUCAGUGGUAGAGCGCUUCACUAGUAUUCCCUAGUUGGCUAUCAAAGUACUAUGAAGAGGUCAGUCGUUCAAGUCGGCUAGAGGGAA
Non-coding RNA from Marasmius fiardii PR-910, 97 nucleotides. The record is from the annotation of a GenBank genome assembly. NCBI's taxonomy places the organism in Eukaryota, Fungi, Basidiomycota, Agaricomycetes, Agaricales, Marasmiaceae.